RNAcentral lists this long non-coding RNA (442 nucleotides) under Numida meleagris (helmeted guineafowl). Its description in RNAcentral is "lncRNA (ENSNMEG00000017576.1)". The record is from RNAcentral. Lineage: Eukaryota; Metazoa; Chordata; Aves; Galliformes; Numididae.
AUAGAGGAGAGUUGAAACAUCAGAUAUGUAUCUUACAUUUAAAAAGAAAAAAAAGCAAUACAGACUGGACUGCUGUAGUCUGCAUGCACAGAAAGAGGCAAUCCUUCAGUUAUUGUUAUUUACAGAGGAACUGGAAUUACACUUGCUUGCAAACAGAUGAGAAGACAGGUCACCUUCCUGAAGGUGCAGCCUGGAUAGAGCACAUACAGAGGAGAGAGAUGUCUGGAGUGAGUUUACAAAAAAGACUUUCUGCAUUUCCUGCUGCUCUGCCUAGGAGGUGAAGAGGAAUAAUCUUCUUGGAAACCACAGGAAGCAAGUGAUAGUCUUUUACUACCAGAAAGAUCUGAAAACUUUGUGAAAAUGGUACUGUUUAAUACUUUUCCAUGACAAAGGUUAGCUCCUACAUGUGUGUGUUGGUUGAAUAAAACAUUUUCCUAUUACA